RNAcentral lists this ribosomal RNA (274 nucleotides) under uncultured Lactobacillus sp. RNAcentral's name for it is "partial 16S ribosomal RNA". It matches the Rfam family "Bacterial small subunit ribosomal RNA", at positions 262 to 525 of the family's 1533-position model. Lineage: Bacteria; Bacillati; Bacillota; Bacilli; Lactobacillales; Lactobacillaceae. The record is from RNAcentral.
GGCUUACCAAGGCGAUGAUGCAUAGCCGAGUUGAGAGACUGAUCGGCCACAUUGGGACUGAGACACGGCCCAAACUCCUACCGGGAGGCAGCAGUAGGGAAUCUUCCACAAUGGACGCAAGUCUGAUGGAGCAACGCCGCGUGAGUGAAGAAGGUUUUCGGAUCGUAAAGCUCUGUUGUUGGUGAAGAAGGAUAGAGGUAGUAACUGGCCGUUUAGUUUGACGGUAAUCAACCAGAAAGUCACGGCUAACUACGUGCCAGCAGCCGCGGUAAAU